GCCCAGGUGGCGGAAUUGGUAGACGCGCUAGAUUCAGGGUCUAGUACCGGCAACGGUGUGGAGGUUCGAGUCCUCUCCUGGGCA
RNAcentral lists this transfer RNA (84 nucleotides) under Myxococcales bacterium. RNAcentral's name for it is "tRNA-Leu". It matches the Rfam family "tRNA". From Rfam's summary of the family: Transfer RNA (tRNA) molecules are approximately 80 nucleotides in length. Their secondary structure includes four short double-helical elements and three loops (D, anti-codon, and T loops). Lineage: Bacteria; Pseudomonadati; Myxococcota; Myxococcia; Myxococcales. The record is from RNAcentral.